AGCUCUAAUAGCGUAUAUUAAAGUUGUUGCGGUUAAAAAGCUCGUAGUUGGAUUUUGGGCCCUCUACCGUCGGUCCGGUGUAAACCAGCACUGAUAGUGGGGGCCUUCUGUCUGGAAACGGCGUCUUCGUUCUUAAUUGGACGAUGCGGCGGGUCUAGGACUUUUACUUUGAACAAAUUAGAGUGUUUAAAGCAGGCAUCCGCCUUGAAUACAUUAGCAUGGAAUAACCGAAUAGGACUUUGGUCUUAUUUUGUUGGUUCUAAGGACCAAAGUAAUGAUUAAUAGGGAUAGUUGGGGGCAUUAGUAUUUAAUUGUCAGAGGUGAAAUUCUUAGAUUUAUGAAAGACUAACUUCUGCGAAAGCAUUUGCCAAGGAUGUUUUCA
This 382-nucleotide ribosomal RNA is filed under the name uncultured eukaryote. RNAcentral's name for it is "SSU rRNA". It matches the Rfam family "Eukaryotic small subunit ribosomal RNA", at positions 587 to 972 of the family's 1831-position model. The record is from RNAcentral.